Molecule: long non-coding RNA, 523 nt
Organism: Hippocampus comes (tiger tail seahorse)
Lineage: Eukaryota; Metazoa; Chordata; Actinopteri; Syngnathiformes; Syngnathidae
Exons: 3
Source: RefSeq, a predicted model, not a curated record
UUUUGUUGAUUUUCUUCACAAAAGAGAUCCAAAUCUGCAGGCCGACAUCUAAUCCUGCCAGCCUCCACAGGCUCUCGCUUGGGCCUCAUUACAUAAGCACGCUCGGAAAAUGGGGAGGGAAGACGGGAAGGAGCGGACUUAACUGCACUUGUGCGUGUUUGCCCAAUUCCUGAGCUCCAUUGGAUGAAAGUGAAGCGUUAAAAAAAAGGACACGAACAGGAGGCAGAGAAGGUCCACAACUAAACUGCAGGAAUAGUCAUUGUUCUUGCAGAUUCUAGACCUUCAACUUCAACUGAAACACCUUAAAGCAACCAUGCUCUGCCUCUAUUUGCAGGGUCAGUUUCCUCACAGUGAUGUUGUACAAUAGUCUCCUAUUUUGAGACGAGAGAGGGAGAAGCAGGUACUAGGGGAUAAUGAGUGUUUUCAAGUUUAAGUGUGUUUGAACAAAUUUCAAUAUAUUUUUAACACCUCUAAAUGGGUUUAAUGCAUGUGGGAAUCGGUGAACUACUUAAAAACAACAUUG